GUGUUGUAUGAAAGGAGAGACGGUUAGCACUCCCCUAGACAAGGAUGGAAUUAUAACACAAAUAUGGUUAAGGCACCUUAACCACAUUUUUUU
Small nuclear RNA from Onthophagus taurus, 93 nucleotides. The record is from RefSeq and is a predicted model, not a curated record. Lineage: Eukaryota; Metazoa; Arthropoda; Insecta; Coleoptera; Scarabaeidae.